AAAAGUGGAUGAUGUUCGUACAGUGCUUGGUGGUCUUGAAACGCAAUAAUGCUUUCUAUUUUCUUUGUUGAAACGACCACUUCCUUCUAAUAAUGCUUUCUAUUUUC
This 107-nucleotide non-coding RNA is filed under the name uncultured Vexilliferidae. The record is from RNAcentral. Lineage: Eukaryota; Discosea; Flabellinia; Dactylopodida; Vexilliferidae.